GGGGAAGGAUCCGCCGGUGAAGCGGAAGGUUAAACAGGUCUUGCCCACAUUUGAGUCCCCGAUCACAAUGAUUUUAAAAAUGCGAGUCUGGACGCUGUGAUCUAGCGACGUGCUCAGAUCGAGGGACGACGUGAGAUUGGCAUGACGGGUCAGUAAGCGAAACUCCAGCUGUAAAGGCAGCGCGCAUCUCAUAAAGAGAACAAUCCACACUUACCCACAGCAGACAGUACAGGAUGACAACGUGUUUUUGCAUUCAAACACAGCUUGAUGGAGUGCAAAUCUAAAUGCAGGUAUUUCAAGACGUGUUACAAACUACUUUAACUUGACACAGUGACCUAAAAACGCUGUGUUUAUGAUGUGAUGCAACCAAAGGGAGAUGCUCCAAAAGAGUCUGUCUGAUGCAGGCAUUGUUGGCCUUGAGCAGAUGAAAAAUAUAAGGUGACUCACCUCAAUCUGGGUGGCAAAGGACGAAUUUCAGUUGCUUCCACGUCUGAGACCAUCAAUCCGCACAUCUUAUCACAUGGCUUGUUGAGCGUGUUACUGUGGAGGCAUAGCAUGUGUGGAGGCUUCAUGCUAUUCUCUGUGGCUUCCACACACAACUCACCACACACCCCACCGAGAGCGAGAACCACAUUAUAAUGACCAUGAGGAGGUUACCCCAUGUGACUCUACCCUCCCUAGCAACUGGGCCAAUUUGGUUGCUUGGGAGACCUGGCUGGAGUCACUCAGCAUUCCCUGGAUUUGAACUCGCGACUCCAGGGGUGGUAGUCAGCGUCUUUACUCACUGAGCUACCCAGACCCCCUGAUUUAAAUAAACAAUGGAUGAGUUUAAUUUAUUAAUUUUUUGUAAUCAACAUUAUGUCAUAAAUGCUGUUAAUUGAACUUAACUUGUAUUGAACCUGGAACAUUCCUUUAAUCAACCUAGAGGACAUUUUUAUUGUUCAGAGGAUGUUCUUUAAUAGCUCAUGGAGUUCUCAGUUAUGCUCAUUUUGGUAUCAAUUUAGUCUCAGAUGUUUCUAAUACUAUUCCUUAGUAGAAAUGAAAAUAAAAAUGAGACAAUUGUUCAUAUAUUGUAAGUAUAGCAAAAAAAAAAAAAAAAAAGAUAGCAUAGCUCUGACAGUUUGUUCUCAGAAGAAAUUGAUGCGAAAUGUUUGAGUUCAUGUUGAAAUCUCUGACUCUUGUUUUCAGACUCCGGUAUCAUGGAAAAUCACAAUUUGUAAUAUUGUUUAAAUGUCUUUUGGAACUAGGGAGGACAUACAGUAUGUGAGAUUGCUGUGGCCUUUUUCUCAGGAGAAAAUUCUGAAAAGGAGUCUUAAGUCUCCUUUGCUUUCCAUUGAAUCUCAUUGCGUAGGAUAACAAUUGAGAUAUUAAAGAGAUCUCAUUUGUGUUUUUUCUUUUCUAUGGGAAUGAACAAAUGCAUAAUAAAUACAUUUAAUAUAGCGUACUUUGUAGUUCUGUUGCUAGAUUCAACUCUGGGGUGUAUUACAUUUAAAAUAGUAAUGUAGAGCCCACUUUAUAGUGUUGUGCAGUUGUUAUGUGGCAUUUUUAGAAUAGUAUAUUCUUUAUUAAUGACUUGGA
Myxocyprinus asiaticus (Chinese sucker) is the source of this 1578-nucleotide long non-coding RNA. RefSeq lists it as uncharacterized. NCBI's taxonomy places the organism in Eukaryota, Metazoa, Chordata, Actinopteri, Cypriniformes, Catostomidae. The record is from RefSeq and is a predicted model, not a curated record. The transcript has 3 exons.